This is a long non-coding RNA of Capsicum annuum, 624 nucleotides long. RefSeq lists it as uncharacterized. The transcript has 3 exons. The record is from RefSeq and is a predicted model, not a curated record. Lineage: Eukaryota; Viridiplantae; Streptophyta; Magnoliopsida; Solanales; Solanaceae.
UACUUUAUGUCGUCAAAUGGUUUCAGGGAUAUAUACUCGGAAAUCCAAUGACUUAGUAUGGUGAAGCCAAUUAUCGGAUUCCAUUUGCUCAUGGAAUGGGACUUAUUUCUGAUGAACUAUAUGAGUCCUUGAUGACAAAGUGUAACGGAGACUACUUGACUCCAAAUCAAAGCAAUACAUUCUGUUUGCAAGAUGUUGAGACAUUUAAAGAGGUUGAAUUCUAUCUGCACUAAAAUUAUAUGUAUAUCCUCCUCUGCAAGUUUGUUAAAAUAGUACCGACCUUUUUAUGCAACUUAUUGAAGAAGUUAAUAAUUUACAUAUCUUGGAGCCCGAAUGUAACCCGAAGCCACACUUAAUGUUUGGCCAAAGAAGAUCUCUUGAUGAAAAGUUUCAUCAACCCAACAAUACUCGACAACUUAAAUGUCGUGUGAGUAUUUACAAAGUAAUUGCAUUCUUUAUCUCUAAAAUGCUCACAAGAACUUACAAGCUGCAAUUGCUUUAGGAAGAUUGGUACAUAAACUCUAAUCAGUGGGCUAAUGAUGCUCAAGUUCAAGAGGCCCUAAACAUCCGGAAGGGCUUUAUUGGAAAAUGGGCGCGAUGUAGACAUUCUGUAUUUUCAUACUA